RNAcentral lists this ribosomal RNA (358 nucleotides) under Ochrobactrum sp. LP18. Its description in RNAcentral is "partial 16S ribosomal RNA". It matches the Rfam family "Bacterial small subunit ribosomal RNA", at positions 998 to 1356 of the family's 1533-position model. The record is from RNAcentral. Lineage: Bacteria; Pseudomonadati; Pseudomonadota; Alphaproteobacteria; Hyphomicrobiales; Brucellaceae.
ACAGAGAUAUUUUUUUCUAUUCCAGCUUUAUCGGAUACAGGUGCUGGAUGCCAUUCGUCAGCUGGUGGCGGGAGGAGGGGGGUUAAAUCCCGCGAGCGCGCGCACCCCCUCGCCCUUAGCUGCCAGCAAUUAGGGGGGCCCUCUCAGGGGGCCCCCGGUGAUAAAGCGAGGAGGAAGGGGGGACGACCUCCAGUCCUCAGGCGGCUUACGGGCUGGGCCACACACGUGCUACAAUGGUGGUGACAGUGGGCAACGAGCACGCGAGUGUGAGCUAAUCUCCAAAAGCCAUCUCAGUUCGGAGGCACUCUGCAACUCGAGUGCAUGAAGUUGGAAUCGCUAGUAACCGCGGAUCAGAAUG